CCCUUAGAUGUUCUGGGCCGCACGCGCGCUACACUGAUGCAUUCAACGAGUUUCUUCCUGGUCCGAGAGGAAUGGGUAACCUUUUGAAAGUGCAUCGUGAUAGGGAUAGACUAUUGCAAUUAUUGGUCUUCAACGAGGAAUUCCUAGUAGACGUAGUUCAUCAGACUGCAUCGAUUACGUCCCUGCCCUUUGUACACACCGCCCGUCGCUCCUACCGAUUGAAUUCUCAGGUGAGCCAUUCGGACUUUCAUCAUGCUGGUUUCCAGUUUUGAUGAAGGAAAGUCUUGCGAACCUUAUCAUUUAGAGGAAGGAGAAGUCGUAACA
RNAcentral lists this ribosomal RNA (324 nucleotides) under uncultured eukaryote. RNAcentral describes it as "partial 18S ribosomal RNA". It matches the Rfam family "Eukaryotic small subunit ribosomal RNA", at positions 1470 to 1796 of the family's 1831-position model. The record is from RNAcentral.